RNAcentral lists this ribosomal RNA (497 nucleotides) under uncultured bacterium. RNAcentral describes it as "partial 16S ribosomal RNA". It matches the Rfam family "Bacterial small subunit ribosomal RNA", at positions 28 to 507 of the family's 1533-position model. The record is from RNAcentral.
GAUGAACGCUGGCGGCGUGCCUAAUACAUGCAAGUCGAGCGAACAGACGAGGAGCUUGCUCCUCUGACGUUAGCGGCGGACGGGUGAGUAACACGUGGAUCACCUCCCUAUAAGACUGGGAUAACUUCGGGACACCGGCGCUAAUACCGUAUAAUAUAUUGCACCGCAUGGUUCAAUAGUGAAAGACGGUUUUGCUGUCACUUAUAGAUGGAUCUGCGCCGCAUUAGCUAGUUGGUAAGUUAACGGCUUACCACGGCAACGAUGCGUAGCCGACCUGAGAGGGUGAUCGGCCGCACUGGAACUGAGACACGGUCCAGACUCCUACGGGAGGCAGCAGUAGGGAAUGUGCCGCAAUGGGCGAAAGCCUGACGGAGCAACGCCGCGUGAGUGAUGAAGGUCUUCGGAUCGUAAAACUCUGUUAUUAGGGAAGAACAAAUGUGUAAGUAACUAUGCACGUCGUGACGGUACCUGAUCAGAAAGCCACGGCUAACUACGUG